AUUUCUUUUCGAGAUGAAAGACUUGGAUGGGCUUCUCAUAGGAGCAACAGGACCAGAACAUUUAUGAGCCUGCUUGGCCAUGCCUCUAUCCCUGAGCCUGGAGCAGAGUCAUUGCCUUAGUGAAGGUGAAUCUUCUGAUGACCCUGAAGAGACCAUUGGAGGGGCCUCAGGGAUAUUGAAAAGGAGCAUUGCCUUUUUCUAUAGCUACUUAAUACAUCUCUGAGGCAAUUCUCCCUGGAAGGCAGGAAUCCCACCAUGCAGAAUCAACAUGUGAUCAAUCACUGUUCUGUAUGAAGGCACAUUUCUCAGAGAAAAAAAUAUCCUAUGAGGCCAGGAGGGUUCUUCCUAUGAAUUUUUUUUUCUCCAAAGAUAUUGUCAACUGGAUUACACAUUUUCCAAAUAAAAUCUCUUAUAUAAGCUUUCCUUGGGAUUUAUCUUUAUUGAAAGUCAUACAACUUCAGAUACAGGCUGAUUUGACCAAACAAAUGACUGUGACUCAGUCUUCUGGUUGACCAUUAUCAUGGAAGAAAACUCAGGUAAUUUCAGGUAAACCAAUUUUUUUAUUGUUUAGUUGUUUGUGUAUUUAUUUAUUUUUAUUUUACUUUAAGUUCUGUGAUACAUGUGCAGAACGUGCAGGUUUGUUACUUAGGUAUACAUGUGCCAUGGUGCCAUGGUGGGGGGCAAGGGGAGGGAGAACAUCGGCACAAGUACCUAAUUCAUGCGGGGCUUGAAACCUAGAUGAUGGGUUGAUAGGUGAAACCAAUGCCUUGUAUGUGGUUUUGGCUUUGUUUUGAUUCAAUUAGUUAAGCAAGUGUUUCUCUUGCUUAAGAGAAAAAGUAUAAUCUGUGUUUUUUCCUGUGCAUUCCUG
This 868-nucleotide long non-coding RNA is filed under the name Callithrix jacchus (white-tufted-ear marmoset). Its description in RNAcentral is "lncRNA (ENSCJAG00000080287.1)". Lineage: Eukaryota; Metazoa; Chordata; Mammalia; Primates; Cebidae. The record is from RNAcentral.